AUUUAUUUUUGCCCUAAAACCAAAUAACGUUUUACACAUUUAAUACACUUGCCUAUGCCUUUGCCAAUCUGAUACAAGAUAAUCGAUACAUAUUCAAAAACAUAUUUAUAUUGUGUAAGAAUUGAAUUAAGUACCGGGUCUCCAUGCUUUUCAAGAACACGUAACAGAACUCUCUUAAGAUCCCCAGUUAGGAAUGUUUGCCGUGGCUUCAUUAACCAUUUUCACAAGUGUCACCACGCUUUCCGGGACACCAGCUGGUGGCAGGGGAAGGUUUCUGGGAGGAACAACAUUAUCAUAUGAUCUCUUGUCGAACCUCCAUUCACCAAUCUUACCGUAAGUCAGUUCUCCCUUCAUAUUGUAGUCACAUCCAUAAGUAUAAUGGAUUAUGAACUUCUUGCCGACUUCUGUAUCCCAUGGGGGCUGAAUCA
This 428-nucleotide unclassified non-coding RNA is filed under the name Hevea brasiliensis (rubber tree). Lineage: Eukaryota; Viridiplantae; Streptophyta; Magnoliopsida; Malpighiales; Euphorbiaceae. The record is from RNAcentral.